Molecule: ribosomal RNA, 464 nt
Filed under: uncultured bacterium
Lineage: Bacteria
Description: partial 16S ribosomal RNA
Rfam family: Bacterial small subunit ribosomal RNA
Source: RNAcentral
CUACGGGGGGCAGCAGUGGGGAAUUUUGGACAAUGGGGGCAACCCUGAUCCAGCCAUGCCGCGUGCGGGAAGAAGGCCUUCGGGUUGUAAACCGCUUUUGUCAGGGAAGAAACGCUCCGGGCUAAUACCUCGGAGUAAUGACGGUACCUGAAGAAUAAGCACCGGCUAACUACGUGCCAGCAGCCGCGGUAAUACGUAGGGUGCAAGCGUUAAUCGGAAUUACUGGGCGUAAAGCGUGCGCAGGCGGUAAUACAAGACAGAUGUGAAAUCCCCGGGCUUAACCUGGGAACUGCAUUUGUGACUGUAUUGCUGGAGUGCGGCAGAGGGGGAUGGAAUUCCGCGUGUAGCAGUGAAAUGCGUAGAUAUGCGGAGGAACACCGAUGGCGAAGGCAAUCCCCUGGGCCUGCACUGACGCUCAUGCACGAAAGCGUGGGGAGCAAACAGGAUUAGAUACCCCUGUAGUC